Molecule: long non-coding RNA, 1375 nt
Filed under: Rhinopithecus bieti (black snub-nosed monkey)
Lineage: Eukaryota; Metazoa; Chordata; Mammalia; Primates; Cercopithecidae
Description: lncRNA (ENSRBIG00000046435.1)
Source: RNAcentral
GAAACUGGAUAAAAUUAAUUAUAUUAAAUUAACAAUAAUAAAUGCAGUGACAAAUAGGUUUGUUUUCCUGUAUUAAUUUAGGAAUGACUGCCAGCAAAAAACCUGGGAACCGAGAAUGCAAUCAUCCUUGUAAAAGUAAACAUACAUGUGGACAUGACUGCUGUAAAAUUGGAGUUGCACAGAAGUCAGAAAUUAAAGAGUCAACAAUUUCUUCAUAUUUAUCUGAUUUAAGAAACAGGAAUGCUGUUUCAUCUCUUCCUCCAGUUAAACGUCUGAAGAUACAGAUGAAUAAAUAUCAAAGUGUGGACCUUAAAGAGUUCGGUUUUACUCCAAAACCUUCCCUUCCUAGUAUAUCGAGGUAUAAAUAUAAUGUUAAUAUCUAAGGUAAAAUAUUUAUCAUAAACUCUGUUCCUGCAGGUAACCACUUAUUCAGGGAAAGAUAAUCACUGGCUACCAUCAAGUCACAGUUACCGUUUAGUUCCAUAAUGAAGCAAUAACAUCAUAAUGGUGUCAUUAUCUUUAAUACCCUAAAUUUGUUUAGAACUCUACAGUUAUGAAAUAACACUCAUGAAAUCAUCUCUUCCCUAGGAAACUACCUCUCCUAUGACAUUCCCGUAGGUUCUCUCUUUAUAGGGAAUAUAAACUAAGUGACAAGAGUAUACUUUAAAAAUGGAAAUCAUGUCGGCAUAUAAAGUCUAACCUUUCCAUUUAGAAGCUCAGUCCAUGCUAAUAAUAUCUCAGAUUUAUAAUAUGAAAAUUGCAUAUUUGUGCAUUAUGUUUUCUGACUUAAACAACAACAUGGCCCAUAAAAUGAGGUGUUUUUUUCCCCAUUGUUUAGAUGGAAAAACUGAAGUUCAUAUUCCUAGUUAGCAGGCAGAAGGCCUUAGGUGGUAACUCAGUAUUCUUUUUCUGUAUCCUGAUGCCUACAGGACAAUCAUAUAUGUAAUUUCCCUUCCAGAUAAGGGCAUUCUAUAUGCAGAAAUGACAUUCAAUAUAUUUAACAACUAGUACAGAACAGGAACUGACUCAUCAGGACAGAUGCCAGCAGUACUUCUAGAGAUCGUGGCUUUUGUUAUCUAACUAAGGGCGCGUAAAGAUGACUAAGUAUUGGUCACUUUCAUUAAGCACCUAUUUAUUUGCUACCCAGGCAGGGUCCAGUUUAUCAUAAAAGUAUUAAAUAGAUAAAUCAUUAUUUUUAUUUAUAUGAAUAAAUAGUUUUCAGGCUUAGAUUAAUUUUCAUUUUUUAACAUUUUUAUUGUUUUAUCUUUAUAAAGAUCAGAAUAUUUAAACAUAUCUGAAUUACCUAUAAUGNCACCCCUAGAAAACUAAUACACUAAUCUGUGCUGUUAAAAGUCAAGAUAAAGUUUACUCUUGA